UAGGGAAUCUUCCACAAUGGACGAAAGUCUGAUGGAGCAACGCCGCGUGAGUGAAGAAGGGUUUCGGGCUCGUAAAACUCUGUUGUUAAAGAAGAACAUAUCUGAGAGUAACUGUUCAGGUAUUGACGGUAUUUAACCAGAAAGCCACGGCUAACUACGUGCCAA
This 165-nucleotide ribosomal RNA is filed under the name uncultured bacterium. Its description in RNAcentral is "partial 16S rRNA". It matches the Rfam family "Bacterial small subunit ribosomal RNA", at positions 355 to 511 of the family's 1533-position model. The record is from RNAcentral.